UUCAGACCAGGCAAUCCAUCUGAAGCUAAGCAGGUUUGGGUCUGACCAGUACUUGGUUGGGAGACCAACUAGGAAAGCUGGGUUGCUGCUGGAA
RNAcentral lists this ribosomal RNA (94 nucleotides) under Paramormyrops kingsleyae. Lineage: Eukaryota; Metazoa; Chordata; Actinopteri; Osteoglossiformes; Mormyridae. The record is from RNAcentral.